This 253-nucleotide ribosomal RNA is filed under the name uncultured bacterium. RNAcentral describes it as "partial 16S ribosomal RNA". It matches the Rfam family "Bacterial small subunit ribosomal RNA", at positions 524 to 776 of the family's 1533-position model. The record is from RNAcentral.
UACGUAGGGUGCGAGCGUUGUCCGGAAUUAUUGGGCGUAAAGGGCUCGUAGGCGGUUUGUCGCGUCGGGAGUGAAAACUCAGGGCUUAACCCUGAGCCUGCUUCCGAUACGGGCAGACUAGAGGUAUGCAGGGGAGAACGGAAUUCCUGGUGUAGCGGUGAAAUGCGCAGAUAUCAGGAGGAACACCCGUAGCGAAGGCGGCACUCUGGGCCGAUUCUGACACUGAGGAGCGAAAGCGUGGGGAGCGAACAGG